Molecule: ribosomal RNA, 478 nt
Filed under: Anguilla luzonensis
Lineage: Eukaryota; Metazoa; Chordata; Actinopteri; Anguilliformes; Anguillidae
Description: partial 16S ribosomal RNA
Rfam family: Bacterial large subunit ribosomal RNA
Source: RNAcentral
CCUGCCUGCCCAGUGACCACAAAGUUUAACGGCCGCGGUAUCCUGACCGUGCGAAGGUAGCGUAAUCAUUUGUCUUUUAAAUAGAGACCUGUAUGAAUGGCAUAACGAGGGUUUAACUGUCUCCCUCCCCUAGUCAAUGAAAUUGAUCUGCCCGUGCAGAAGCGGGCAUAAAUACAUAAGACGAGAAGACCCUAUGGAGCUUUAGACGAAAGAUCAAACAUGUAAAGAAACCAAACUAACCAAAAGGAACACAAAGGCCACUAAACCCAACGUAAAAUGAUCCAAAUGUCUUCGGUUGGGGCGACCAUGGGGGAAAGAAAAGCCCCCACGAGGAACUAGGGGCAAUCCAUUAAGUCAAGAGAUACACCUCUAAGCAACAGAAAAUCUGACCAAAAAUGACCCAGGACACUAAUCCUGAUCAACGAACCAAGUUACCCUAGGGAUAACAGCGCAAUCCUUUCCCAGAGUCCAUAUCGAC